Molecule: unclassified non-coding RNA, 396 nt
Filed under: soil metagenome
Description: partial contains 5.8S ribosomal RNA, internal transcribed spacer 2, and large subunit ribosomal RNA
Rfam family: 5.8S ribosomal RNA (bases 1-122)
Source: RNAcentral
GAUGAAGAACGCAGCGAAAUGCGAUACUUGGUGUGAAUUGCAGAAUCCCGUGAACCAUCGAGUCUUUGAACGCAAGUUGCGCCCGAAGCCAUCAGGUUGAGGGCACGUCUGCCUGGGCGUCACAUAUCGUUGCCCAAUGCCUAUUGCAGUGCAAUAGGAAUUUCUAGGGCGAAUGAUGGCUUCCCGUGAGCGUUGUUGCCUCGCGGUUGGUUGAAAAUCGAGUCCUUGGUAGGGUGUGCCAUGGUAGAUGGUGGUCGAGUUAGAACGAUACCGAUCAUGUGCAUGCUCCCCAAAAUAUGGCCUCUAUGACCCACACGCAUCUUUUGACGCUCAUGACGAGACCUCAGGUCAGGCGGGGCUACCCGCUGAAUUUAAGCAUAUCAAUAAGCGGAGGAA